Molecule: ribosomal RNA, 189 nt
Filed under: uncultured bacterium
Lineage: Bacteria
Description: partial 16S ribosomal RNA
Rfam family: Bacterial small subunit ribosomal RNA
Source: RNAcentral
UCUGCAACUCGACUCCAUGAAGCUGGAUUCGCUAGUAAUCGCGCAUCAGCCAUGGCGCGGUGAAUACGUUCCCGGGCCUUGUACACACCGCCCGUCAAGCCAUGGAAGCCGGGAGUGCCUGAAGUGUGCAACCGCAAGGAGCGCCCUAAGGUAAAACUGGUGACUGGGGCUAAGUCGUAACAAGGUAAC